RNAcentral lists this ribosomal RNA (253 nucleotides) under uncultured bacterium. RNAcentral describes it as "partial 16S ribosomal RNA". It matches the Rfam family "Bacterial small subunit ribosomal RNA", at positions 524 to 776 of the family's 1533-position model. The record is from RNAcentral.
UACGUAGGGUGCAAGCGUUAAUCGGAAUUACUGGGCGUAAAGCGUGCGCAGGCGGUUUUGUAAGUUUGUCGUGAAAGCCCCGGGCGUCAACCUGGGAAUGGCAAUGGAUACUGGCAGGCUAGAGUGCGGUAGAGGGUAGUGGAAUUCCCGGUGUAGCGGUGAAAUGCGUAGAGAUCGGGAGGAACACCAGUGGCGAAGGCGGCUACCUGGACCAGCACUGACACUGAGGCACGAAAGCGUGGGAGCAAAUAGG